GAACAUCUAAAAAAGCUACCGAUGAAGUAUUUACCAAAAUCACCAGCUAUUUACAAAAUACAAAACACACCAAGUUCAAAAUCCUAGCCUGUGAAAGGACAUUAAUACCCUCCAACACUCACUAAAUUUACCAAAACUGGAUGUUCUCUGUCUUCACUAACCCCAUAGCUACCGGCGAUUGGAGAAAAUAGAAGACAGAGAGUGAGCUAAACCCAAAACUAUAGUAAUCUUCACUUGCCCUCUUUUUGGAAUCGGUCUUCCAUAUUCCUCUCUUCUUGACAUAUUUACUCCAUUUAUCAUCUCUUUUCUUACUCCGGCCAUCUUUAAAUUUCUACAGUGAGCUUUAAUUACUGUAAAUGAACUCCGGUGAUGGAUCUGUU
RNAcentral lists this unclassified non-coding RNA (380 nucleotides) under Hevea brasiliensis (rubber tree). The record is from RNAcentral. Lineage: Eukaryota; Viridiplantae; Streptophyta; Magnoliopsida; Malpighiales; Euphorbiaceae.